RNAcentral lists this ribosomal RNA (719 nucleotides) under uncultured euryarchaeote. Its description in RNAcentral is "bacterial SSU rRNA". It matches the Rfam family "Archaeal small subunit ribosomal RNA", at positions 54 to 779 of the family's 1478-position model. Lineage: Archaea; Methanobacteriati; Methanobacteriota. The record is from RNAcentral.
CGAGUAGAAAGAAUUAGAUUCUUUGCGAACUGCUCAGUAACACGUGCCAUUACCUGCCCUAUGCUCCGGAAUAACCUCGGGAAACUGAGAAUAAUACCGGAUAGAUCACAACGCCUGGAACGGUGUGUGGUUCAAAGGUCACGGCAUAGGAUGGGUCUGCGGCGUAUCAGGUCGUAGGGGGUGUAAAGGACCUCCUAGCCAUCGACGCGUACGGGUGUUGGGAGACAUAGCCCGGAGAUGGAUUCUGAGACACGAAUCCAGACCCUACGGGGUGCAGCAGGCGCGAAAACUUCACACUGCAGGAAACUGUGAUGAGGGAACUCCAAGUGCGCGCACUUAUGUGUGCGCUUUUCUUGACUAUUAAUCGGUCUUGGAAUAAGGGCUGGGAAAGACCGGUGCCAGCCGCCGCGGUAAUACCGGCAGCUCAAGUGGUCGUCGCUUUUAUUGGGCCUAAAACGUCCGUAGCCUGUUUGGUAAAUCUGUGGGUAAAUCAACCAGCUUAACUGGUUGAAUUCUGCAGAGACUGCCAGACUAGGGACCGGGAGAGGUGUGGGGUACUCUAGGGGUAGGGGUAAAAUCCUGUCAUCCUUAGAGGACCACCAGUUGCGAAGGCGCCACACUGGAACGGAUCCGACGGUCAGGGACGAAGCCUAGGGGCACGAACCGGAUUAGAUACCCGGGUAGUCCUAGGUGUAAACGCUGUGAACUUGGUGUCGGGA